AGCGAACGUUUGCGGCGGGCCUAACACAUGCAAGUCGAACGCACUAGCAAUAGUGAGUGGCGCACGGGUGCGUAACACGUGGGUAAUCAACCCUUCAGCCUGGGAUAACGACUCGAAAGGGUCGCUAAUACCGGAUACGGCGCGAGAGGCUUCGGCUUCUCACGAGAAAGCCACGCAAGGGGCACUGAAGGACGAGCCUGCGGCCCAUCAGCUAGUUGGUGAGGUAAGAGCUCACCAAGGCUAAGACGGGUAGCUGGUCUGAGAGGAUGAUCAGCCACACUGGAACUGAGACACGGUCCAGACUCCUACGGGAGGCAGCAGUGGGGAAUAUUGCGCAAUGGGCGAAAGCCUGACGCAGCCACGCCGCGUGAGCGAUGAAGGCCUUGGUCGUAAGCUCUGUGGGGGAGGAAGAAGAAAGACCGGUGAAGAGCCGGCCCGUCGACGGUAUCCCUUACGCAAGCACCGGCUAACUCCGUGCCAGCAGCCGCGG
Molecule: ribosomal RNA, 490 nt
Filed under: uncultured bacterium
Lineage: Bacteria
Description: bacterial SSU rRNA
Rfam family: Bacterial small subunit ribosomal RNA
Source: RNAcentral